This is a long non-coding RNA of Peromyscus eremicus (cactus mouse), 2849 nucleotides long. RefSeq lists it as uncharacterized. NCBI's taxonomy places the organism in Eukaryota, Metazoa, Chordata, Mammalia, Rodentia, Cricetidae. The transcript has 3 exons. The record is from RefSeq and is a predicted model, not a curated record.
GCCCUUAGAUUCCACACAUGAACGAGAUCCCAAGGCAUCAUUGGUCUUCCUGUGCCUGGCUUGCUCUUGUCUCAUCACCUGCUGAAGAUCACCGUGGGGAACAUGGAGGUGGCAUUCCGUUCUUUGCUCUUUCCUUCGAGAUUAGAAAACCAAUAUUAGUAAACCUCCCCACUCGAAGGUGCCUGGGAACUGACACCUCCUUGUGAGAUCGUAUGAAGGGAUACCUCCUGCUUUGUGAUGCUCUGGGCAAGUAUUUGAAGGUAUCCCAGAGGCAGGGAAGAACCGUGUGGCAUUGAGAUGGAUCUAUCGCUGGGAUGUACGGAGUUUGACGCUGUCACCUUCCAGAUGCUAGUGUCCCUCAGGGGCUGGAACUCAGGAAGUCAUCCCAACUCAGAGCAGACUCUAGUUCCCUGUGAGAAUCUGGCCUGGCUUUCUUCAAGCCAACUUUCCAUACUGACUGGAUUCUGGUGAUGGAAGAGACUGCAACAGUGUCCUGACCCAUCUUCCGUUGUCUAACAAAAUACCUGAGACUAUGUGCUUAAAAAAUAUUUAAAUCUUUUAAAUUUAUUAUUUUUGUUGUUAUUGUUCUUUUUUAAAAAAAAAAAAAAACUUUAUUAUAAAAAAGUUGCCAAUAAAAAUUCCUCCUUCGAGAGUGACUCUCUUCACCAGGCCAGACUUGACAGGUCAUGGCACGUGAAAACACUGGCUAGAGAAAGCAUGGCAGCUGGGUUUGGUGGCACUGACUUGCGAUCCAGGACUCAGGAGGCUGCAGCAGCAAGGUUACCAGCAAGAGGCCAGCACGGCCUACAUCGUAAGCCCCUGUCUCAAGAAACAAGACAAACUAUGGCUGCAUGGCUUGCAUUGAUCACAUGUAACCUGUCGCUUUGUGUUCCUUCAUGCGUUCACAAGAUGUCCCAGCUCCAGCCAUGAGGAUUGUAACAAGUCACCAUGUCUCUAGGAGUCUCAGUCAGUGAACUUGUGAAAUGAUCGUGAUAACGUCAGACAGAUACAAUGACUACAGGAGACCCUGUGUGUGGAAGCGGCUUGUCGACAGCUCUCAGCAGUCACGACUUUCAUGAACAUGGACUUCUGUUAGAGCAGUUCUCCUGGGACCUUCCCAGGCAUGAAGGCUGAUCUGGUGUCCCAGUGGGGCUAGAGUCCCCCCCUUGGGAAGGUGGAGGCCAGCACUUUUAGGGGUCUCAUAUAAAACAUAGUCUCUGAGUCCACUAUCCCCAUGUACCAGCCUGGGAAAGAGUCCUGGGAACUGACACUUACCUGAUAUGGUGUGUGUUGAGAAUCAUUUUAGGAAAGACACAUGGACUUGGAAUCUAGUCUUAGCACCCAUGGGAGGUGGUCCAGGGCAAACCCUCAUCUUACAGAAGAACAAACUGGAAAGGAACCUUCUCCAUGAUGCAGUAGUAGAUACUCAGUUACAAAUUAAAUCUAGGGCCCGGGAAAUAGCCCAGUGAAAUACUUGCCACACAUGCAUGAGGAACUGUGCUCCACCUCCAGUACUCAUCUAAAAAAACAGCACGGUGGCUUGAGCUUGUAGUACCAGCACUCAAGAUGUUUGUUGACUGAGUUGGGUCCCUAGUCUUGCUGACCAGCUAGUAUACCUUAAUUGGUGAGCUCCAGGUUCCAGUGAGAGACCCUGUCUCAAAAACAGGGGGGGGGGUCUCCUAAAGAAUGAUGCAUGAGGUUGACUCUGGCCCCCAUGGAUACAGCUAUUCACAUAUACACAUGUUUACCUUCACAUACAUGUACACACACACACACACACACACCACAAAUAAUGUUUCUUAUGCUCCCUUUAGGGACAAUGGUAUGUUUACUGCCCGUGGCAUGCUUUACCACAGGACACCUGUAAACACCAUUCUUGGGAUCCAUGUCCAAGCUAACCUAAGGCAGCUUGGCAUGCUUUUUAUCAUUGGAGGUCCAGGGCAAGUCAGCUUGCUAGGCUUUACUGGUUUGUGACAAAUGCAGCAAGGAAUCAGCACAGACCCAAAGUCCAAGAUGAAGGCUUGGGCAGGGUUGAUUCCUUCUGAGAGCUGUUAGGGAUCUUCUAGGCUCACACGGAAGAGGUAAAGGCUGGAGCCAAGUGGAUGGCUAGCAGUAGAGCUGUGCAGAUCCUGUGCCAGGUGAUGUACACAUAUCUAGUUUAUGUCUCAGCCAGGUCCUCAAGGAAAAUGCUGAAGACCCGUCCCCAUUUUACAGACGGGAAGACUAGAAGUUGGUCUCCAGAUUUCUGUCUGGAAAGGUGUCUGGGAGUGAGUCCAGGGUUGGUGGAGAAGCAGAAGAUCCUACAGGGUAAUGACUGUGGCUCACACUGAAGGCGUCUCCUCCUGGCCCACGUCAGGUCACAGGCCAGACCCAUUGGGAAUAGGGAAUUUGCAACUUUCUCAACUCUGGUACCCUAGUGGGCAUCCUCUGGUGCUCUGUGGAUGGGCCUAGACUAUUCUGUGGAGCUUAAUGCUGCAGUUGUGUUUAUAUUCCCAAGUUUCUCUUCCCCAGUAGCCAAAUCUGAGUUUCCUCUUGGCCCAUAAUGGUUAAUAUUGGCUAUCAACUUGACAGGCUCUGGAGUUGUCUGGAAGAUAAACUUCUGGCCAUAUGUAUUUAAAGGCCUUUCUAGGUUAUGUUAAUUGAGGAAAGACGCACCCUGAAUGUGGGCAGUACUAUUCUGUGGACUGAGGUCCUGGACAAAAUAAAAUGGAGCUAGUGAGCAGAGUACCGGUAUUCAUCAUCCUCCGCUUCCUGACUGUGUACAAUGUGAUCAGCCACCUCAUGCAUCCACCCCAGGAUGGACCUCACCCCCAUAAACUGUAAGCCAGAAUAAACUCUGCCCCUCUUAA